AUUCUGCUUUUUACAUAAACUUUUCAUAUUUAGUUACUUUAUUUUCUGCACCUCUUUAUGCUAAUAUCUGAAAUCCUUACAAGAGUCCUCAUUUGUUGUUUUUAUUCCUUGUGCAUAUUUGAUUUUUUAUUCAGUCAACUCAUAUUUGACUGAAUUUAUUUUUUAAGAAAUUAUAAGUGGUUUAGAUUAAAAGAUAAGUUCUUGAAGAAAUUUUAUGUCUCUAAAACUUCUUCAAACAGCUUCCUGUCUUAGCACAUCUCUUUGCCUGGUUGAUUGUCUUCCAUCAAUGGUAGUAUGAAUGGAGAUAAACGAAAACAAAAUCAAUACAACAUCUGGUUCUAAAGGACAGUGAGGGAUUCUCCUGUUAUUCGUUUAUGCUACUCCAUGAAUAUUCCCUAUGUUAAAAGGCUUUCAAGGCAGGAAAUCUUCUAAUUUUCAUUAGGAACACUAGUCUCUUACACAGGAAGUUUUUACAAAAUCCUGCGAAAAAGAUGCCUAUAUUGUCAAAAUACACAUUUCACACUUCCUAUUAAAAUGUCCUCUAAAAAGCAUUGUAAUCCAAUUAAGAAAACAUGUUUUGCAUGUCAUUCCAAAUGUGUCUAUCUUAAAACUGAUUUAAUGAUGAGGUAAUAGUACUCUUUCCUGUUCUUCUUUUAAUUCAAAAAAUCUUGGAGCUCCCUUGUGGUGCAGUGGGUUAGGGAUCUAGCAUUGUCAUUGCUUUGGUAGGGGUUUGAUCCCUGGUGGGGGAACUUCCACAUGCAGUGGGUGUGGCCAAAUUUUUUUUAGUUAAAAAAAGAAUUUGUUCAUAUAUCCAUUUGCUUCUGAAAUCAUAUUAUGACUAUGGUCUUUUAAAUCAAUAAAAUAUCCAACUGAAAUCCACAAAACUCUUUGUGGAUCUUAAAAGCUCCUAAGCCUCCAAGGAAUACACAAAUUUCCCUUUCUCCUAAUGAGAAAGGUGACAGAGUUCACUACAUUCCUAUAAAUAAACAUCAUCCUUUGUAACUAAAACUCUCCAAAAUGUCUUCCUUUCAGAGGUCUGAGGGCCUAUCACUAUUUGCACAGUAAUGAAGUCCUUCAUUUUGGUAUAUGUGAACUUAAUACUCUUUAGUGCAUCCAGACAAUCCUCAAGAACUCCAAGGAGCCUUUGGCAGACAAGGCGUCAGGAAAUCUAUGGGAAAGCAUCAGUAGAAGAUCUAUAACAUGAGGCAACAGUAAAUGGAUCUGGGAAUGCCAUGAAUUUUAGGAAAUUAUGGACUCCAAAAAGGAAUGGGAACAUAGACAAAUUGUCUUCUUGGGAGGUAGGAAUGAAGAGUGAAGGGGAGGAUAUGAAGAACAUUUCAGAUUGCCAGAGAAGUAAACUUUAGGGUGAAACAAAGGUGCCAGUGAAUUCUCUGAUUUCUGUACCUAGCAAUUUUGAAAUGCUUCAUGGUAUAUGAACAGCUCUAUUAUGUGCCUAAGUCUACAUCUCUUCAACCAAGAUAAAAGCACUGGACACUAUCCUAAGUAUAAAACUACAAAGUAAAACAUUCAGAAAUAUUCUAGUUUUAAGUAUGGCGAAGAAAAAAUAACAUACAAGAAAAUACACAAGUUAUUUUACAGUAACUUUAGCAAAUCAGAAGCUUAAUUAGGGUUGCCUUUAAAAAUGAACUUUCUCAAAGUAGAGCUAUGAUUUCAGGUUUGUUCAGGUGCAGGUUAUGAUGUAAUUUACAGAAAACUGAAAUUUUUUUUUUUUAAUCUUUUUAGGGCCAUACCCGUGGCAUAUGGAGGUUCCUAGGCUAGGGGUCGAAUCUUCCCAAGCUAGGGGUUGAAUCGGAGUUGAAGCUGCUGGCCUACACCACAGCCACAGCCAGAUCCGAGCUGAGUCUGUGAUCUACACCACAGCUCACGGCAAUGCCGGAUCCUUAACCCACUAAGCGAGGCCAGGGAUCGAACCCGCCACCUCAUGGUUCCUAGUCAGAUUAGUUUCCACUGUACCACAACGGGAACUCCUGAGAAAGCUGAAAUAUUUGAUAGUUCUAUCUAGUAAGCAGAACUUUAAAAAUAAUGUUUGUUGAUGUUUUUGAGUGGUAGUUCAAAGAACAUGGAAUAAAAUUCAAAAGGAUAAACAAUAAAAAAAUGAACUUUGGAGUUGUUAGAUGUGUAUUAACUUAUUCAAAAGUAUAUACUGAGCAUUAUAUUGGUUAUAUGUAAUAUGGGAUUACAAAGAAUAAGUGAAGGCUUGGGCAACUUAAGUCUUACAGAAAAAAAUUUAACUUAAUUUGGCAUUUCACAAAAUUAUGUAACUGCAUCUUUUUUCACCUAACACCUGUAAACAGAUCAUGACACUUUAGAAAAUGCUGAUUUGGGCACACGGUUUUAAAAAAUGUAUUCCUACAUACUUCCUAAGGCACUGAAAACAUAAAUUUUUAACACUUUUCACAUUUUCAGAAAACAUGAAAGAGCAAGUUUGCAAAUUCUUGGGAAUCAUAAAAAUAAUGAGAGACAGAGUUAAGAGGGAGGAGGGAAAACAACAAAUAGCUUUCCCAUACCACAGAAAAUGAUCUAUAACUGUAAAUUAUGGUCUAUAAAGACUAAAAAUAACCAUACAAUUUAAGAAACAGGUGAUUUAAAUAUACAAUCAUUUUACCAAAAUCUACUUCAAGUAUAUAUACUAUUUAGACUGUUUCAAACAUAUUUUAAUCUGCAAUAAACUUUAUAUUCCUAAUUACAUGCACAGGAAAGACAUUACAUGUUCUGUAUUCCAUUUGUUAACAUUCAUUAUUUCUGUCUUCUUCUAAAUGUUAAGUUUGUACCUGAUCUUCACUCUUGAUGUUAGCUUGUGGAAAUCUGGUAUUUAGCACUCUUUUAAUUAAAAAAAAUUUUUUUGGUCUUUUUAAGGCUGCAUCAGCAACAUGUGGAGGUUCCAGACUAGGGGUCCAAUCGGAGCUGUAGCCACAGCAACAAGGGAUCCCAGCCACGUCUGCAACCUACACCACAGCUCACGGCAACACCGGAUACCUAACACACUGAGCAAGGCCAGGGAUCGAACCCGCAACCUCAUGGUUCCUAGUCAGAUUCGUUAACCACUGUGACACGACAUAAACUCCAGUAUUUAGGCACUUCUAACUGCUCCUUUAAUAAAUGAAUCUUAGCAAGAGUAAAAUUGGAAAAUACACUCUCUUCCUCUUAACUGCAGAAAAGUAAACACAUUCUAUUCAACGUCAUAAAACUGACUUUACAAGUAUUUUUUUAAAAAUAGUACUAUCAGACCUCCGAAUUUCAGUGUUGCUAUAGCCUGGAAAAUAACUUAUACCUUUUAAAGUCUGUGAUUCUGAUUGCCUGGUUUAAUAAUUUGACGCCUUGUUAAUAUUUAAAAUAACAUUCUGAUUUCUGAAAUUUUCUUGCAAAUUUAUUUUUUAAGAUGAGGAAGAAAAUCAUUGGCACAUUCCUUUUCUUGCAAAUAUAUGGUCAUACACACUUAUACACACAUCUCUGGUUAGAUAUGAUUUCUACUUUAAAGAGUUUUUGCUAUCUCAACUUGUUUAAUUAGUAACAGGCGCUACGACUAAAAACACUUGUGUAUAAUAUUGAAGAGGGAACUGGUAGCUCAGAAAAAAAAACAAAAAAAAAACAACCAAAUUGGUCUCUGGAUGUGCAGUCUCUUUUCAACACAAAGUAGUAAGAUUUUGCUUUCUCCAUAGUUUUCCUAGGUGGCAGAAAGU
RNAcentral lists this long non-coding RNA (3701 nucleotides) under Sus scrofa (pig). RNAcentral describes it as "lncRNA (ENSSSCG00040016601.1)". The record is from RNAcentral. Lineage: Eukaryota; Metazoa; Chordata; Mammalia; Artiodactyla; Suidae.